UAAAAUGGAGGAAUGGAUAACGUGUGAAUC
RNAcentral lists this non-coding RNA (30 nucleotides) under Rattus norvegicus (Norway rat). The record is from RNAcentral. Lineage: Eukaryota; Metazoa; Chordata; Mammalia; Rodentia; Muridae.